This 632-nucleotide small RNA is filed under the name Pongo abelii (Sumatran orangutan). RNAcentral's name for it is "retained intron". The record is from RNAcentral. Lineage: Eukaryota; Metazoa; Chordata; Mammalia; Primates; Hominidae.
GUGCCCCGCCAGAGGAGGCCGGGAGGACCAGGAAGCCGGGAGAGCAUGGCCACGCUGCGCCGGCUUCGGGAGGCGCCGCGGCACUUACUGGUUUGCGAGAAAUCCAACUUCGGCAACCACAAGUCGCGCCACCGGCAUCUUGUGCAGACGCACUACUAUAACUACAGGGUUUCAUUUCUCAUUCCUGAAUGUGGGAUACUAUCGGAAGAACUGAAAAACCUGGUCAUGAACGCUGGACCGUAUUACUUUGUGAAUAAUUUACCUCUUCAUGAAUUAAUUACACCUGAAUUCAUCAGUACCUUUAUAAAGAAAGGUUCUUGCUAUGCACUAACAUACAAUACAAAUAUUGAUGAAGAUAAUACUGUUGCCCUGCUACCAAAUGGGAAAUUAAUUUUGUCACUGGAUAAAGACACUUAUGAAGAAACUGGACUUCAGGGUCAUCCAUCUCAGUUUUCUGGCAGAAAAAUUAUGAAAUUUAUUGUUUCCAUUGAUUUGAUGGAAUUAUCCUUAAACUUGGAUUCUAAGAAGUAUGAAAGAAUAUCUUGGUCCUUCAAAGAAAAGAAACCAUUGAAAUUUGAUUUUCUUUUGGCUUGGCAUAAAACAGGUAUGAAGAAUAAAUUAUGUAAUGAUAC